This 468-nucleotide ribosomal RNA is filed under the name uncultured bacterium. RNAcentral's name for it is "partial 16S ribosomal RNA". It matches the Rfam family "Bacterial small subunit ribosomal RNA", at positions 28 to 507 of the family's 1533-position model. The record is from RNAcentral.
GAUGAACGCUGGCGGCGUGCUUAACACAUGCAAGUCGAACGGAAAGGCCCUGCUUUUGUGGGGUGCUCGAGUGGCGAACGGGUGAGUAACACGUGAGUAACCUGCCCUUGACUUUGGGAUAACUUCAGGAAACUGGGGCUAAUACCGGAUAGGAGCUCCUGCUGCAUGGUGGGGGUUGGAAAGUUUCGGCGGUUGGGGAUGGACUCGCGGCUUAUCAGCUUGUUGGUGGGGUAGUGGCUUACCAAGGCUUUGACGGGUAGCCGGCCUGAGAGGGUGACCGGCCACAUUGGGACUGAGAUACGGCCCAGACUCCUACGGGAGGCAGCAGUGGGGAAUAUUGCACAAUGGGCGGAAGCCUGAUGCAGCAACGCCGCGUGCGGGAUGACGGCCUUCGGGUUGUAAACCGCUUUCGCCUGUGACGAAGCGUGAGUGACGGUAAUGGGUAAAGAAACACCGGCUAACUACGUG